Molecule: ribosomal RNA, 473 nt
Filed under: uncultured bacterium
Lineage: Bacteria
Description: SSU rRNA
Rfam family: Bacterial small subunit ribosomal RNA
Source: RNAcentral
AGAUUGAACGCUGGCGGCGUGCUUAACACAUGCAAGUCGAGCGGUAGCAGGCGUAGCAAUACGUGCUGACGAGCGGCGAACGGGUGAGUAAUGCUUCGGAAUCUUCCUAGUAGUGGGGCAUAACCUGGGGAAACUCAGGCUAAUUCCGCAUACGACCUACGGGUGAAAGCAGGGGAUCGCAAGACCUUGCGCUAUUAGAUGAGCCGAAGUCGGAUUAGCUAGUUGGUGGGGUAAAGGCCUACCAAGGCGACGAUCCGUAGCUGGUCUGAGAGGACGACCAGCCACACUGGGACUGAGACACGGCCCAGACUCCUACGGGAGGCAGCAGUGGGGAAUAUUGGACAAUGGGGGCAACCCUGAUCCAGCGACGCCGCGUGUGUGAAGAAGGCCUUAGGGUUGUAAAGCUCUUUUGGCGGGACGAUAAUGACGGUACCCGCAGAAUAAGCCCCGGCUAACUUCGUGCCAGCAGCCGC